Molecule: long non-coding RNA, 1107 nt
Organism: Quercus lobata
Lineage: Eukaryota; Viridiplantae; Streptophyta; Magnoliopsida; Fagales; Fagaceae
Exons: 3
Source: RefSeq, a predicted model, not a curated record
ACGUUCGUCCCAGAGGUACUGAGAGAGAGGCGAUGAAAUCGAGAGAGAGGCUAUGAAGACACAGAGAAAGAAACAAAAAAAGAGAGAGGCGAUGAAGACAUGGUGAAACAAAUAGGAAAAGAGAGAGGCGAUCCUAGUACACAGAGAAAGAAGAGAUCGCCUCUCUGUUUCUGACAGAACGCCUCUCUGCCCACAAACAACGCCUCUGAUGGGUUCUAUUCUUUCUCUGAUUUUUUUAUAGGUAAAUUAGAUUUGUUAUAUGCAUUCAAUUUUUUUCAAUUUGGUUCUAGAUUUGGAUUCAAAAAUUAGGGCUAAGGAAAUCAAGUUUUAAUAUGUGACUAUUUUUUUUUUAAUUUUUUCGGUAAUAGAUUUUUUUUCAAUUCAUCUAUUUUGGAAUUAAAUCAUUCAAUUUCAAAAAUUAACUGGUUAAAAUACUAUGCACACAAUUUGGAACACGGAGAAAGAAACAGAGAAAGAGGCAGAGUUCAGUUUCUCCAUCACCGUCCGUUCCCUUUCCAGAUUUAGACCACCAGAUGCCAGAACCGACAUUGACAACGGGGCACAUUUGCAUUAGACGGAAUUUUUGAAGAAUGAAGUGGAUUUUAAUCAGAAAGUGUUGAAGCCCAACUGAAGAUUUUUGGAAAAAACAAGUUUGAAGAGAAGCCACUUCAACUUGAUGCAAACUCAGGAGUUACCCUCAAAAUCAAAGGGAUGUUCAUGUAUGUACUGCUGUUCUUGGUAAUGCAGUGGUUGAAAAGCACUUAGCAUCAAAAAAGGAUUAAAGGGAACAUCCUAACAAACCUGCAAGAUAGCUUGAAGGGGAUAUUCUGUGUAGUUGAGGGGGAAUUAGUAGCUGGAAAGUGGAUGCAUUUGGAGACUACUACCUUCAUCUUGGCUCAUCAGAUAUGUACUGAGUACCUACUUUACAAUGAGCAUAAAGCAUGAUAUUAAAUCUAUAUCAAUGAAAAUGGUGUCCUCACACUAUAUAUAAAAGAAACUGAGGAAACAUUAAAUUUUUAUAGUUAUAUUUUUCCAGUUUCUUUCAUUCCUAUUGUAACAGAGAGACAGAGCUAAGUUAAACAUGCAAAGGGUUAAGCUUUAUUUGAA